This 328-nucleotide ribosomal RNA is filed under the name uncultured Neocallimastigales. RNAcentral's name for it is "partial large subunit ribosomal RNA". Lineage: Eukaryota; Fungi; Neocallimastigomycota; Neocallimastigomycetes; Neocallimastigales. The record is from RNAcentral.
GUUGUUUAGUUGAAAAUCAAUUAAAUAAUUUUUGAUUUUAAGUAGUAUUGACUUCAUCAGCUUGCUGCUUUCUUUUCGGAAAUUAUUUAAUGCACUUUUCAGUUAACAAGUCAACAUCAAUUUCUUUUGUUGUAAAAGGGUAAGAGGAAGGUGGCUUACAUUUCGGUGUAAGUGUUUAUAGCCUUUUACCUCUGCAAUCGGAGAGAUUGAGGUCAGCAGCGUAGACUCUUCGGGGUUAGAUACACUUGUGCUAAGCUAUAGCCUUGUAUAGACAACUUGUUGACUAUGCUCAGUCAUGUAGCUUACUCGCUUGUAGUAUUUUACCUAC